CUGAGAUGGCGGCGGUGGCGGCUCCUCAGUUCGCAGCGGCGGCGCAGGUCAUUCCCCGCCCGUCGGAGGCGGCUUCUCAGGUCGCGGCGGCGGCGCAGGGGUGAGGCAUUUUGGAAGGAGUGCGGCCGCACUUGAAGGUGACGGUGACGGCCUUCCUCAACAGAGGCGCCAUCCGGGUACGUAUCUUGUGUUCUCAUCGGCAUCGUCGCAAGUAGGCACUAUUAGAGUUCGGUUCUGAUUAACUUUGCAUUAGAAGAGUGGAUAGGAAACAGGGAUAGAAAGUUUACUGGUAAUCUUAAAACAGGGAUAGGAAAAUCAUUCACAUCCAUCCCUGGAAUGCAGUAGAAGAGUGGAUACAGUUCUCUAACAAUAGUCGCAUGCUCAAGCUUAGGUGCACCAUGAAGGAUGUGUCCAUAAUCACAAGAAUAAGCCGUAAUCAUCAACUCUAACUUCAUACGUGUUCCAAUGAUUUAAAGGAAUGCACAACAGUGGUAUUUUCAUGCAGCUUUGUGUGAUGUAUUAUAUAUGUAUGCGGGCCUUUUAGAGUCUGCGGGACAGGAUCCGAUGAAUGUUUCUGCAUACCAGGUCCGAGACCAGCUUCCUCGAGGUGUUGUAAUGUUCGACUUAUACGCAAUGUGCUGACUAAAUAAAUACAGAGACAAAAGGUGAGCAAUGCAUUUCUCUUGAUUACCAGCACCAAAAAUGUCAUGAGUACAUAUUUACAUGCCUGAGAAAUUGCACUUGCACUGCAUACACACAUUAAGAUGACUGCAAUAUCUGGAAUAGUGAGCAAUUGCGCACGAAGAUGAUCUUAGAUAAUUAUCUAAUGGUAAUACUGGUGGUGUUUAUAUAUGCCUUCUAGCCACGGAUCCUCUAAUUCAAGUUAGGGAAAAGAAGUUGCAUCUUUUGAGGCUUAUCAUGUUAAUUGCAGUGCUGGCCUGCUGGGUACUAUUUUUAUAGGACUAUGCGCUCUUUGCAUAAUAUAGUAAAGAUAUUUUAGAGGACUUUCAUCCCAAAAGGAUUUCUCAGAUAAUGACUCUCAUCGUCUAUGACUAUUCCUUUUUUUUUACAGCACUGCACAAAGAAUUUCUCAGAUAAAUGUGGCAAGGUACCUUUGGUUCGGUGUUUAAAGGAUUGCUCCGAGACUCGAAACUAGUAGCUGCCCACUAGGUUCAAGGAAUGAAACAAGGAGAGAAUUAUUGGAAAAGAAGAAACAAGGAGAGAAGCAAUUUCACAUUGGGGUGAGGACACAAGGAGAAUGAGUCUCAUAGGCGAACGCUGGAAUUCUUUGUUGAAAUCUUACAGGACAUUCAAGAUGUCAGCUGUCCGCAACAUGUGGAGGAACUUCGACAACAACCAGUGGAGGGACGAUACAAUAAUACUAAUCGUGGAAAUAAACUUGUCAUGGCAUUCCUAGUAGGAUGACACUGUAAAUUUGUAAAGUUCACGCUGUAUGAAGCAAUAUACUCAGCAAUUAGUAUGCUCAUUUACCACUAUGCAAUACACAAAUAUCUUUGUUAUUUUUUCGGAU
Molecule: long non-coding RNA, 1531 nt
Organism: Panicum virgatum (switchgrass)
Lineage: Eukaryota; Viridiplantae; Streptophyta; Magnoliopsida; Poales; Poaceae
Exons: 2
Source: RefSeq, a predicted model, not a curated record